CGGCCUUGUGGAGGUUUACGUGCAUCCUUAACUUCCACGCUCAAGAGGUGUCUGUGAGGUGGUGUUUCCCCAUGUGGUGGUUCCUCUCCCCUACCACCGGGUCCAGGGUGGUGUGGUGGCUCCUCUCCCCUACCACCAGGUCCGGGGUGAUGUGGUGGCUCCUCUCCUCUACCACCAGGUCCGAGGUGAUGUGGUGGCUCAUCCCCCAUACCACUAGGUCUGGGGUGGUGUGGUGGCUUCUCUCUCCUACCACCAGGUCCGGGGUGAUGUAGUGGUUCAUUCCCCAUACCACUAGGUUCAGGGUGGUGUGGUGGCUCAUCC
This 321-nucleotide long non-coding RNA is filed under the name Gossypium barbadense (sea-island cotton). RNAcentral's name for it is "long non-coding RNA (GBAR_LNC009033)". The record is from RNAcentral. Lineage: Eukaryota; Viridiplantae; Streptophyta; Magnoliopsida; Malvales; Malvaceae.